Molecule: unclassified non-coding RNA, 363 nt
Filed under: uncultured fungus
Lineage: Eukaryota; Fungi
Description: partial contains small subunit ribosomal RNA, internal transcribed spacer 1, and 5.8S ribosomal RNA
Rfam family: Eukaryotic small subunit ribosomal RNA (bases 1-73)
Source: RNAcentral
ACAAACUUGGUCAUUUAGAGGAAGUAAAAGUCGUAACAAGGUUUCCGUAGGUGAACCUGCGGAAGGAUCAUUAGUGAAUGUAGUUUUGGGGGAGUCGAGUGCUCGUCCCAGGAACUUUUCAUUUUUCCUUUCCACUGUGAAAAUGUUUUAUCGGGCGGUCUCUUUUAAGGGGGACUGGUCGAGGCUGGGGGAGUAGAACAGUGUUGUCGCUUCUGGCUACAAUAUGGGAUCGAAACCUUGGGGACCGAAUCACUACUUUAUAAUUUUUGAGACAACCUUUUUAAACAUGAAUGUGUGAUUUUUGAAAAAUCUAAAACUUUCAGUGACGGAUCUCUUGGCUCUCGCAUCGAUGAAGAACGCAGC